Long non-coding RNA from Wyeomyia smithii (pitcher-plant mosquito), 1189 nucleotides. RefSeq lists it as uncharacterized. The record is from RefSeq and is a predicted model, not a curated record. Lineage: Eukaryota; Metazoa; Arthropoda; Insecta; Diptera; Culicidae. The transcript is spliced from 4 exons.
UUGCCUAUUUUAGUUUUUGUUUUUACGGUCACGAAUUUCGAAACUACCAAUCAGGAAGCUGUUUCAUUCCUAACAGUAAAAUGGCUUCUUUUUAUUACGACUUGUGAUGUUCGUUAGCCAUCGUUUCCCAACACACGCGAUAGACAGUUUACAUACACAUAGAAUCGUUAUUACGUUUGCAAACGUAUACGAUGCGAACGGACGUUUAAUAUCUGACGUGUUUGUUUACCUGCAUGAAGUUUUCUCGGUUGGAUACGUGAGUGAAUACGUAUUUAGGUAAGUUAUAAUGUGAAAAUCGCGUAUUUUCAUCUAUUAAAUGUAUUUCACCUGUUUGUUUUUCUUUAAGGAAUGUUCGCUGUAGUACAACUAAUUGAAAACCAAAAAUUCAAGGUGCUGGUUGUCCCCGUUUCUUGGAUAAGGAAUGGAGUACUCCUUUGGCCAAAACUGCUUUCCGAACAAAAAAUUGAAGAGCUGAGAAUAAACGGAACAGCCUAUAAGGGAGCUACAAAGCAAAUUCCUGUGAUCGUCAACGAGAGAUACAAAAAGCUCGCAACCGCGGAAGCUGCAGCGGAUGACCUUGCUAUGAAGGAAGUUUCAGACGUCGAUGGCAAAAAGAAAAGGUUAAAACCUGAGAAAAAGAAGAAAGCCGCUGCUGUGAAGACUAUAACAAGCUUUUUGCAGAAAUUAGUAAUGUUAACAGCUCGACACAAUCAUUGGAACCAGUGAAACAUCGGACUAUUGAAGAUACCGUAGUGGGUCAGUCACAAUCCUGUAAAACCGGCUCGUCGAUACAUGUUACACCAUUUGAGCAAAAGCUCAUUCCAACUACAGUUCUAAAAGUUCAAGUGGGCGGAAAUAGUUCAAGUCUCCAGAAUUCAGCUCAAGAAAUCAACUGUUGUAAUAAUGAACGUGAAAUUUCUACAACACAGUUAAAACAAACAACAGUUAUAGAAGAGAUGGAAUUAAAUCAUACACAAUGUGAGAACUCCGCAGUUGCUGAAUCGCAAAAUAUACUUUAUUCAAUUCCUUCAUAUCCGUCGAUCAAACCAGAUUCUGUAUAUGUAACUGAUGGUGGUUUGAUUCACUUGACUGACCCACACGAAUUAUCAGCACCAAUUCUUACAUUGUCAGAUUUUCAAAAGGAAAUGGAUGUUUUGAAGCAGGAUUUCAGCGUUCUUAUACUAACAAA